AGGGGGGGGGGGCUAAUACAUGCAGUCGAGCGAAUGGAUUAAGAGCUUGCUCUUAUGAAGUUAGCGGCGGACGGGUGAGUAACACGUGGGUAACCUGCCCAUAAGACUGGGAUAACUCCGGGAAACCGGGGCUAAUACCGGAUAACAUUUUGAACCGCAUGGUUCGAAAUUGAAAGGCGGCUUCGGCUGUCACUUAUGGAUGGACCCGCGUCGCAUUAGCUAGUUGGUGAGGUAACGGCUCACCAAGGCAACGAUGCGUAGCCGACCUGAGAGGGUGAUCGGCCACACUGGGA
RNAcentral lists this ribosomal RNA (293 nucleotides) under uncultured Bacillus sp. RNAcentral's name for it is "partial 16S ribosomal RNA". It matches the Rfam family "Bacterial small subunit ribosomal RNA", at positions 38 to 318 of the family's 1533-position model. The record is from RNAcentral. Lineage: Bacteria; Bacillati; Bacillota; Bacilli; Caryophanales; Bacillaceae.